This 403-nucleotide ribosomal RNA is filed under the name bacterium. RNAcentral describes it as "partial 16S ribosomal RNA". It matches the Rfam family "Bacterial small subunit ribosomal RNA", at positions 355 to 776 of the family's 1533-position model. The record is from RNAcentral.
UGGGGAAUAUUGCACAAUGGGGGAAACCCUGAUGCAGCGACGCCGCGUGAACGAAGAAGGUAUUCGUAUCGUAAAGUUCUGUCCUAUGGGAAGAUAAUGACAGUACCAUAGAAGAAAGCUCCGGCUAAAUACGUGCCAGCAGCCGCGGUAAUACGUAUGGAGCGAGCGUUGUCCGGAAUUAUUGGGCGUAAAGGGUACGCAGGCGGUUUAAUAAGUCGAAUGUUAAAGAUCGGGGCUCAACCCCGUAAAGCAUUGGAAACUGAUAAACUUGAGUAGUGGAGAGGAAAGUGGAAUUCCUAGUGUAGUGGUGAAAUACGUAGAUAUUAGGAGGCAUACCAGUAGCGAAGGCGACUUUCUGGACACAAACUGACGCUGAGGUACGAAAGCGUGGGGAGCAAACAGG